This is a long non-coding RNA of Symphalangus syndactylus (siamang), 5169 nucleotides long. RefSeq lists it as uncharacterized. NCBI's taxonomy places the organism in Eukaryota, Metazoa, Chordata, Mammalia, Primates, Hylobatidae. The record is from RefSeq and is a predicted model, not a curated record.
AUCCACCAACUAUAUCUGUAGCUGCAGUGACAUUUUUACACAAGGAAAGAUGUAUGCUGCCCAUCUGUCAUGUAAGGACAUAAUGUAGCUAAGCCAUCUACCCUGUCUCUUACUACACGAAUUCAACUCAAAAGGGGAGAAUAAUUCCUUCAACAUUCCUGCUCCAUAGAGAAGAAAUCUCACUCUGCAAGGGUCUGGAAGAGUCCCUGUUUCUGGUUGUUGCCUCUGUACCUGGUGGAACUGUCCCAUCUUCAAAACAGUGUGUUACUGGAGUGAACUCUUACCAGUGAGAAAUUAUUGCUAUGAAUUCAAGAAUCCAAGAACCAAAGACGUCGAGUUUGAAAGUAGUCAGAGAAGUUAUGGUUUUCUGCAGAGAAUAAGAGAGAAACUGGAAAUGAAGAAUGUUCUUAAAAGGUCAAAAUCUGCAAUAACCACCAAGGGCAAUGGGAGAGGAAACUAACUAGAUAGGUGGAGGCCAUUGGAAUUUCAUUCAUCUACUGGAUUCUCCUUGCCAAGUAGUUUCUGGGAAUUCCUCAGUCUUGCUCACAUGUUGUACCACUCUCUCCUGGAUGUCACUUGUCACCUCUACCAGCCCUCCUUUCUCCAGAUGCCUUCUUCAUAACCACCAGAGCUUAUAAGACAUUGUAGGACCUGGCCUGCCCUGACUCCACUUUACCAGAACCAUCUGCUGCUCUUCUCUCUUGUGUUACUCGAGGUAUUAGCUGCUGUGGCAAAUCAACUCUGAAAUCUCCGUGGCUUAAUACAAGAGAGGUUUAUUUCUUACUCACACUGGGUACACCUUGUGGAGAGAUCUGUGCCAUAUCCUCCUGUUAAAGAAGACACCUUGGAGGAUGCUUGGCAGAAUCCUGGUUUGAGAACAUCUUUUUGGAAGCCAGAAUUGUGAUUUAAAGUUAAAGGAAAGAAACAGUGAUUCUCCAACUUCAGUUCCAGGAAAGCAUUUGUCUUCAUCACCCUCAUCCAGACUAACACUUUGUGCUUAGGAAAGACAGAUGUGUCCUGCAGGUCUUUCCUCCCUCACAUGACGAAGCCAGCAGUGCAUCAUACCUGGCUUGUGAACAAACAGAGAAUAGCAGCUUCCAUUUCACAAAUACAUCCAUUCACUCUGAGGAUUUUUUUUCCUCUGGCUGAGGGAGCAAAAUGCCCAUUAUAGUGUAUUCUCCCUGUCCCCAGGCUUUAAUAUAUCUUGGAGCAGCUCUCCUCAGCAUUCCACAUUAUAAAAUCAAUCUCUAUUUAAGUAAGAGGGGGAUAUUUAUUUCUUAAUUUUUUAAUAAUGCAUUUUGUGAUUUGUUAUAGCUUCAGUGUUGUAUUAUUUAUUUAUUGUGCCUAUAGGGUGCACUGCCACUUGGUAAUCGAGGAGCUAUGGAAACUUGAGACCUAAGCAGAAAUGAGUUCAAUAAUAUUGCUACACUCUAGGACUUUCUCCAAAAUUAACAACAGAACAAAAGUGCAAGGCAAUGAUAACCCAUCUGACAGCAUUUGGGUAGUGUUUGUGAAAGCAAUGGUGAUGGAGGUUUUAAAAGAAUGUCGGGUAAGGGGAAGUGACAAAUGGAUGAGCUAUUUUAAAAUUCAGAACCAUUUCAUAAGCCUCAUAAAACUGGAUUUGCUAUGUUCUUGGGGGGAAGAGUGUUUAUUUCAUGUUUUACUAAGGAAAAAGCUGUUCAAGAACCUUAUAGAACUUAAAUAUGUUUUCCCUCUCUUCUUGCAGAUCAUAUAAGCAAGAAUGUUGAUGAAUAUAGCUUGGGACCAAGACGCCUUCAUUUUGAUCCCAAGGCCUGCUGACAAUGUGCUGAAAGGAAAGAGGAUCUUCAGUUUUUUUAAAAACAGGAAUGAUUUGGUGUGUUCGUUCUUAACAAUUGUUAAACAACAUAAAAUGUGAUUCUUAUACUUAAUUUUUCUCUCUCAAAGUUAAAGUAAUAGGAAGUAACCACACAGUUGGAAAAUUUGCUGAUAUACAUACAAAUGAUGUCAUAAAAAUUGGGGAUGUUUAGAUAAAAAUCAGGGUUAGAUUGACAUGUUUAACCCCAAAGCCUUCUACACCUGGAAGACAUUACUCAAGCCCUGUUACAGUGUUAUGAUACUAAUUAGUGCCAAUACCCUCCAAUAAUUUUGAAUUCUUUAACUCUCUCAUUAAUCCUGAUGUGCAUUUCAGGAAAAUGAAUUCAUGCUGAUUUGACAUCAAGCAAUAAAUAAAGGCAGUGAAGGGCACUUGCCCUUGGUGGAAAGAUGGCAUCUUAGCCAGGCAGCCAGCCGGUCUGUCAACAGCAUUUAUUGAGUGUCUAAUGAGAGAAAGUGCCACGAGACAAAGAGGAGACACGGGCUCUGGCCUUGGGGAGCAGCCAGGGCAAUGGCAGAGGCAGAGAAAAGAGUGGAGAUGUGUCUGCCAAAUACUGGAGAAGCAGCACAUCAGUGAGGGCAACCUGGAGGAGGGGGCGCCUCCCGUUUGCUGGUCACAUUGCGCAUGGCAGCCUAUGCUAAUGGCCUUUUUAUUGGUGAGCCCAUCAGAUACUCAAGCAAUGCUGUGAGGGAAAUGGUGUCAACUUCUCCAUGCCUCAGUUUCUCAGCUGUAAAAUGAACUCCACUGAGUGGCUGGGGAGUGGCAAAGCCAGUGUCUGUGCAGCUCCUUCCACCCGGCUGGAGGUCAGAGGGCACUGAACACUGGCAGGGGCGAGGAAAUGAGAAGAGGCAUGCUUCAGCUACAGCUGUCCAAGACUCCCCCACCUUUCAGGCCCAUUAAGAAAAUGUAAGAUUUCAAAUGAGGGGAAAAACUGAAAUUCUCAUUUUAGGAUUUGGCUAAGGAGAUUACAAAAGAAUCACAAUACACACAUUUGGCUUUAGCACAUGUUCAGUUCUGUCACAUUUGUGUGUUUUAUGCUGGUGGAAGGAAAUGUAUAGCUGGAUGCCUGUGUGAUCUAGUAGCUUUUCAAUAGCAUGGCAGGGUGGAGCCCACUGAUUCUCCAUCCUGUUUCUCUCUAGGUGCACAGCAGUGCAAUGUAGGGGUGCCUCCCUAAUGGGUUGCAAAUCUUCAUUUAUUUCUGACGUGUGCUGGGGAUGAAACCAAUGAAGAGAAGGUGGAGCACACCCACUCCCCAUUUCCCUGAUGCAGAGAAGGUUCUUCCUUUAUACUCUCAUCAACCCCAUUCUUGGGCCCUAUAUUAAUCCAUUCUUGCAUUGCUAUAAAGAAAUACUUGAAAUGGGGUAAUUUAUAAAGAAAAGAGGUUUAAUUGACUCAUGGUUCUAAAGGCUAUACAGGAAGCAUAGUGGCUUCUGCUUCUGGGGAAGCCUCAGGAAAUUUACAAUCAUGGCAGACGUGAAGGAGAAACAGGCACGUCUUACAUGGCCAAAGCAGGAACAAGAGCGGGGGGGUUGGGUGGUGGUGCUAAACACUUUUAAGGGACCAGAUCUUGUGAUAACUCACUCUUGCCAUGACAAUACCAAGGGGGAUGGUGUUAAACCAUGAGAAACUGCCCCCAUGAUCCAAUCACUUCCCACCAGGCCCCACCUCCAACACUGGGAAUUACAAUUUGACAUGAGAUUUGGGCAGAGACACAGAUGUAAGCCAUAUCAUGUCCCUUGGCAAUAACAGCACAGAGGGAUAUUAAUUGGCCUUUGUGAAUACACAAGAGCCAUAAAGACUUUAGUUGUUGCCAUAUGAAAUUAUAGACACUGGUUGUAAUAAUAGAAAUGCUUCAUCAAUAAGCUGGUUGUUUAAUUUUGACAAAAGCACAAAAAGUUUGAUUUUCUUCUUUCUCUCUUUUUGGUUAAGGUGACUGAUUUGGAGGAAGUAGGAGUUGGGGCAGAAUGACUGUGUUCUGUCAGACACACUCAGCCUCAGGAAGCCAAGCCAUAGCUCACAGGUAUGGGAAGCAGAGGCCCUCAGAAGAUGGGUAUAACAUAGCCAUGUUUGCCUGCAGAACUUGAAUAUGAGAUAUACUUAUUCUUAAGGAGAUUUUGGGCUGAGACAAUGGGGUUUUCCAGAUAUACAAUCAUGUCAUCUACAAACAGGGACAAUUUGACUUCCUCUUUUCCUAAUUGAAUACCCUUUAUUUCCUUCUCCUGCCUGAUAGCCCUGGCCAGAACUUCCAGCACUAUGUUGAAUAGGAGUGGUGAGAGAGGGCAUCCCUCUCUUGUGCCAGAUUUCAAAGGGAAUGCUUCCAGUUUUUGCCCACUCAGUAUGAUAUUGGCUGUGGCUUUGUCAUAGAUAGCUCUUAUUAUUUUGAGAUAUGUCCCAUCAAUACCUAAUUUAUUGAGACUUUCUAGCAUGAAGUGUUGUUGAAUUUUGUCAAAGGCCUUUUCUGCAUCUAUUGAGAUAAUCAUGUGGUUUUUGUCUUUGGUUCUGUUUAUAUGCUGGAUUACAUUUAUUGAUUUGCGUAUGUUGAACCAGCCUUGCAUCCCUUAGCAACUUCGGCAAAGUCUCAGGAUACAAAAUCAAUGUACAAAAAUCACAAGCAUUCUUGUACACCAAUCACAGACAAACAGAGAGCCAAAUCAUGAGUGAACUCCCAUUCACAAUUGCUUCAAAGAGAAUAAAAUACCUAGCAAUCCAACUUACAAGGGAGGUGAAGGACUUCUUCAAGGAGAACUACAAACCACUGCUCAAUGAAAUAAAAGAGGAUACAAACAAAUGGAAGAACAUUCCAUGCUCAUGGGUUGGAAGAAUCAAUAUUGUGAAAGUGGCCAUACUGCCCAAGGUAACUUAUAGAUUCAGUGCCAUCCCCAUCAAGCUACAAAUGACUUUCUUCACAGAAUUGGAAAAAACUACUUUAAAGUUCACAUGGAACCAAAAGAGAGCCCGUGUUGCCAAGUCAAUCCUAAGCCAAAAGAACAAAGCUGGAGGCAUCACGCUACCUGACUUCAAACUAUACUACAAGGCUACAGUGACCAAAACAGCAUGGUACUGGUACCACAACAGAGACAUAGAUCAAUGGAACAGAACAGAGCCCUCAGAAAUAAUGCUGCAUAUCUACAACUAUCUGAUCUUUGACAAACCUGACAAAAACAAGAAAUGGGGAAGGAUUCCCUAUUUAAUAAAUGGUGCUGGGAAAACUGGCUAGCCAUAUGUAGAAAGCUGAAACUGGAUCCCUUCCUUACACCUUAUACAAAAAUUAAUUCAAGAUGGAUUAAAGACUUACAUGUUAGACCCAAAACCAC